Molecule: ribosomal RNA, 253 nt
Filed under: uncultured bacterium
Lineage: Bacteria
Description: partial 16S ribosomal RNA
Rfam family: Bacterial small subunit ribosomal RNA
Source: RNAcentral
UACGUAGGGCGCAAGCGUUGUCCGGAAUUAUUGGGCGUAAAGAGCUCGUAGGCGGUUUGUCGCGUCUGUCGUGAAAGCUUGGGGCUUAACCCCAAGUCUGCGGUGGAUACGGGCAGACUAGAGGCAGGUAGGGGAGAACGGAAUUCCCGGUGUAGCGGUGAAAUGCGCAGAUAUCGGGAGGAACACCGGUGGCGAAGGCGGUUCUCUGGGACGUUACUGACGCUGAGACGCGAAAGCGUGGGGAGCAAACAGG